This 512-nucleotide long non-coding RNA is filed under the name Salvia miltiorrhiza (redroot sage). RNAcentral's name for it is "long non-coding RNA (SMIL_LNC012015)". The record is from RNAcentral. Lineage: Eukaryota; Viridiplantae; Streptophyta; Magnoliopsida; Lamiales; Lamiaceae.
UCAAUAACUAAAAAUAAUUGAGUUAAUUCCUUAAUUAAAACCUAAUUAAAACUCACGCACACACUCACAAAACACACACGACACACACAGAGAUGCAGCGCCCCCCUCCCCCCCUCCUUCCUCACCGGCGUCGCCGGCUCUCCGGGCACCACCACCGGUGCACCUCCCUUCUCUCACCUCUCGCCUCACGCCCUCUCUCUCUUCUCAAACUCUCACGCACCCUUGAACCCAGACGCCGCGCCGCCUUCAUCUACUGCCGGCGAAGGUGACAGCAGCGAGGGCUGCGGCCGCCGCGGUUCCCUCUCCGGCGAAGCCGCGCCUGAGCGCCGCUCCCCUGGCUUCAUCUCUCUCUCUCACCACUCAGCCCUAAAUCCCCAAAAUCCAGAAUCUACCCUAAAUUCCCUAGCUUCAUCUUUCUCUCUCUCACCGCUCCGAUGGAUCUGUUGCCAUAUCGCCGCCUCGCUUCUUCUUCUUCACCCUAAGCGCCGUCUCCCUCAAAUCUCCGCCUCCAU